This 324-nucleotide ribosomal RNA is filed under the name uncultured eukaryote. RNAcentral describes it as "partial 18S ribosomal RNA". It matches the Rfam family "Eukaryotic small subunit ribosomal RNA", at positions 1470 to 1796 of the family's 1831-position model. The record is from RNAcentral.
CCCUUAGAUGUUCUGGGCUGCACGCGCGCUACACUGAUGCGAUCAACAAGUUUUUCCUAUGUCGAUAGACACGGGUAAUCUUUUGAACUCGCAUCGUGAUGGGGAUAGGUUAUUGUAAUUAUUAAUCUUCAACGAGGAAUUCCUAGUAGGUGCAAAUCAUCAGUUUGCAUCGAUUACGUCCCUGCCCUUUGUACACACCGCCCGUCGCUGCUACCGAUUGGUUGAUCUGGUGAAUUAUUCGGACUGCCGGCUGAAGGGGUUUCCUCAUCUGCCAGCGGAAAGUCUUGUUAACCCUAUCAACUAGAGGAAGCAGAAGUCGUAACA